Molecule: long non-coding RNA, 5144 nt
Organism: Denticeps clupeoides (denticle herring)
Lineage: Eukaryota; Metazoa; Chordata; Actinopteri; Clupeiformes; Denticipitidae
Source: Ensembl
GAGGAGGGGUGUGUGUGUGUGUGUGUGUGUGUGUGUUGGGGGGGUUCCCUGAGGGUUGGUGUAUUUGUAUGAGCUUUACUCUCUCACUCAGUCACUCACUUAGUGACACACACACACUCACACACACACCCUCCAGUAGACACCCGGCAACACAGACUGGCUCACUCCUUCCUUCUCCCUCCCUCUCUCACGCACUCGCCCUGACAAAACCACCGCUCCUUCCGGAGGAACCAGACCCACAGACAAGAGAACCGAGGAGUCGAGAGCCAAGGCAGGAGCGGCGGACGAAGCAGACCACCCGCGAAGAACAGCAUCUGAAAGGGCUGCUCAGGAGCCGGAGAUUCAGACCUGAGCACGCAGGAGUCCUCAGAAAGGCUUUCUUUGGCCCCUCGUGGCAGCUGCUGAACUCUCGCCUCACCAGCCACAUGAGCCUUUCAUCAUCCUCGUUCCAGACCCACUGAUCAGAAGUUGCAUGUGGUGUGCAUGUGUGUGCAUGCGUCUGGUUUUAUCACCAACCAACAGACCCGAUUCACCGAAAAGUCAGAGAGAUCAGCCUCACACACACGUACUUUCAUGGGAGACCUCCUGCUGUAACGACAAGCAGCACCUUCUUCACACACUCCACCAUGAAGCUGCCCUCUCUCUGAGAUGAGUAAUCCGCACAAAUGGAAUGAAUUACUAAUCAGACGGUGCGCACACACACACACACACACACACACACACUUACACACGCACAUACAGCAGUGCAGACACGUGAAUAACAAAGGGGAUCAUGUAAAACAAAGCCUCUCCAGCCUCCACCCUUUUCCUGGAGGCCCACUGCUCCACAUUUUCUCAUCCAUGCCCAUUGUGCUUCCUACCUGCCACUCGCAUCGUUAGCUUGAUAAUGAACACCUGACCCUAAUUAAGUAAGCACUUUAGGGCCAUCACUGACAUUCCCUGAUGUAUGACAUGUUUAUGCUAUUGUUGGAUCAAGGGCAUAUUCAUGAUAAAUUAUCACAAAUAUAUUAAAUAUAGAAUAGAAAUUUCAAACAAAGGGUGGUAGUAGCCUAGUGGGUAACACACUCGCCUAUGAACCAGAAGACCCGGGUUCGAAUCCCACUUACUACCAUUGUGUCCCUGAGCAAGACACUUAACCCUAAGUUGCUCCAGGGAGACUGUCCCUGUAACUACUGAUUGUAAGUCGCUCUGGAUAAGGGCGUCUGAAAAAUGCUGUAAAUGUAAAUGUAAACAAUAGCCUAACAAUAACCUGAAUAUAAUAGCUGAAUGUAAGUUUCAAGAAUUUAAAGAUUGAACACAUACUAUUUAAAAAUACAUCGAAACCAGUGAUUAGCCAAUAUUACCAGCAAGUAACACAAGCUCAGGGUUGCAUGAAAAAGAUUUAAAUGAACAAAGAAUUACAGGAUGUCAAUCUGAACGAGACACAUAGAGAUAUUUUCACAGAAAAAAACUAAAUUCUGAAUUUCACCAUUCUGAAAAUAAUGCAACACACCAUGCACCACAUGCCCCGCUCAUGGCUGCCCACUGCUCACUCAGGGUGAUGGGUUAAAUGCAGAGGACAAAUUUCACUGUGUGCUGUGCUGCUGUGUAUCACGUGUGACAAUCACUUUCACAGGAUUCAGCACCAUGGACAGUAUCUGUUUAUUAUUCAGUAACUGCAUUUUAUAAUAAGGUACCUACAUAAAAUACAAAGAUUACAUGCAAUGCAUGUGUAGACAAAAAGUGUUAAUAGAUUCAUCCCUAGUCUCUUUUUUUCUUCUCAGUUCCUCACAGUUCUUCAGUUUGACAUGGUUCAGACAUGGUUCAGACUUUACUCUCUGGUUGUUUCUUGGUCUUCUUUAUUGUUUUUUUUUUCAUCCUUUGUUUGAUGCUUGUCAUGUUUAUCCUUCAUCUGUCUGUAAGUGAAAUAUGAUUCUUUGGUUUUGGUUUAACUAUCCUGCCAAUGCAUUUGACUUUGUUUCCAGAAAUGUAAUAUGCAGACAUGUAAUUGCAAGACGUCUUCAAAUUAGGCUCACGCUUCUUGAUCUCACACAGAGAGAGAUGUAGCAGCUGUCCCUGUCUUCCGUAUGGAGUCUUUACACUUCGGUGGCAGCCUGACGGUUUUGUUAGAGUGCAUGUUCUUUCCACUCGGGCAAACUGAAGUCGCAAGGAUCAUUCAAUCAGCAGAGGCAAUAAAGAGCAGGGUCUGUCUCGUAUGAGCUUCAUUAAGCAAAGCUAACUUGCUGAGCUGGCCUCCAUCUGCAUGUGAUGACGGCCUUUUCCUGCACAAUUAGGGACAAGAAUGGAAUCUGUUCCUCAGUUUUAAAACUUGUUCUCUUAUAGUUUCAAUAUUAGAGGGACACCUUACCAUGAAGGAACAAAAAUUCAGAGAACCCCUUAUGAUUGGUAACAAACCAUAAUUAAGGGGGGAGGGAAAUCUCACAGACCACGAAUUUAAAGAACAGUGAGUGGAAAUGUUGUUACACCAAAUACACUGCUUUGCAUUGCCAUUCUUGUAUCUGUCUGAAGAAAUAAGAGUUGCAAAGGGUUAGCAAACACCUCACAUUCAACACAAUCACCCACUGAUGGUAUACAAGAGACUCGCAUCAGCAAAAGGAUUUACCUAUGCCUCCAUCUCCAUUAGUCUGUUCUCUGCAAGGUUGCGCUGGUGUACUCUGAACAUCUGUACAGCCUUAAAAAACUAAGAGUGGUUUGUCUUUUCUACCCUCGUUCAAAAUUAUAACUUGACAUUAAUGGCUAUAUGUUGUCAUAAUGGUCUUCUGCUUUCCUUUGGAAUCCUUAUUAAAUGCAGUAGUAAAUGAAUUAUGUACAUUUAUAUUUACAGCAUUUAUCAGACGCCCUUAUCCAGAGCGACUUACAAUCAGUAGUGACAGGGACAGUCCCCCCCGGAGACCCUCAGAGUUAAGUGUCUUGCUCAGGGACACAAUGGUAGUAAGUGGGGUUUAAACCUGGGUCUUCUGCUUCAUAGGCGAGUGUGUUACCCAGUGCUUAAGUAGGGAGGUCCCUGUAUGCAGAAUCUUUAUUUGAAAAUGGAGCUACUCGUAGUCUGAGCUGCAGAAGCAGGCGUACACAUGAAGAGCAGGUAGUAAACUCUCAGGGGCGUUAGGCAGCCACAUCUGCCAUAAUGGGGGAAUUGAUGAUGCUUGUAAUGGUCAUAAUGGCACUGAUGAUGUUGCCGACGCCACGCACAGUCAGAGAUGGCGUGGAAAUCCCAGUGCGAGACGGGGGACGUCGAGGUUUGAUAUUGUUUCCCCAGUGGUGCAAUUAUGCCAGGAACACAGGAACAAGGGCACCUGUUGGACGUGGCCAUUGUUCUGGCAAAUUAAUACAGACAAGCAAACAAACGAAUGGCACUGGCUACAUAGGGAUGUGUUGGUACAAUAACAAGAGCAGCAAGACAUAGAGAGGUAAUGAAGGAGCCAUUUUCAGACCUGCAUAAUAUUUGGAAGGUCAUGGAGAACAAGGGCCAUAGAACUAUCCAUUAUGGCCCCUGGCACCAGUGAUUGAAGUGCAGUUUGUACUAUUUAAGGAAAAAGGCAAAUACAAAGUGCAUAAAAACAGUGAGCUUUUCUGGGGUUUUUUUCAUUAGCGAAAAAUAAGUAAUAAUUAAAAUAAAGUGUAGUGAUUGUCACAUGUGAUACAUGGCAGCACAGCACACAGUGCACACAGUGAAAUUUGUCCUCUGCAUUUAACCCAUCACCCUGAGUGAGCAGUGGGCAGCCAUGACAGGCGCCCGGGGAGCAGUGUGUGGGGAAGGUGCUUUACUCAGUGGCACCUCAGUGGCACCUUGACAGAUCGGUAUUCGAACCGGCAACCUUCUGAUUACAGGGGGAGCUUCCUUAACCGCUAGGCCACCACUGCUUCAGUGGCAUGUUGCUAAAGCAACAUCAUUUUGAAGGGCUUGGAGAUUUGGCUUAUUUUUAAUAACAUUGCCCAGCAUAUUCAUUCAAAGGCAACAGACAGAAAGACCAAUGUUCUUUCUUCAAAGAAUUUCCUUCAGGGCCACGUGCAAACACACAGGACUUUGCUGACCACAACAGGAUCUUUUUUUAAUCAAGGCCAGGUUGUUUAAAACAGUCCUGGGUCACACAUAAAUAAAUCAAUAGUGAUAUAAACUAUUUAAACCCAUUUUAUCACUUGUUAUGGGUCCACCCCACCCUCCAGGGGGCAGUGUACCAAGUGUGAGCCGAAGGUUUAAGAUACUGUAGUAUUUGAGGAGAAAGGAGAUCCAAGGCCUCUGUAGGAGUUCUGGGAGCAAAUAUGCUUUGUUCAUUAAUAUUUAAUGGAAAGGCUUCCUCUGUUUUUCUCCCAAAGUUAAUUAAUUCACUCUGAAACACCCAUCCCGCAUGACCCUCAGGCCAUUGUUGUUUACUAGUCUGGUUCAGUUGCUGUAUAAAUUACAGGAGCAGAAUUUAAUAUUAAACAAUUUUAGCUUUGACUAUAAACUCAAGUUGGAGUUAAAUAAUGUGGGACUGAUCAAUCAUAAAUUGACUAAAAAUAAUAAAAAUAUUGCAUAACACACUUGCCUGUAAACCAGAAGCCCAAAAACGUCACAGGUUUAAACCAGACUUACUACCAUUGUGUCCCUGAGUUGCUCCAGGGGGACUGUCCUUGUAACUACUGAUUGUAACUCCCUCUGGAUAAGGGCGCCUGAUAAAUGGUAUAAAUGUAAAUGAUUUGAAGGGCAAUUUUGCCAGUAAGUCCUUGAAUGCAUCUAUAUACCCAAAGAACAUCAUACACUUGCACGGUGUGAGUAAUAGCUAUAAAACCAGAACUAUUGCCCCAAACAAAUUCCGUUUAAUAGUAACCAUUGAGCCACAGUGUAGGCAACUUGGAGUGGCCAUGACCUUUGAUCAUCAAAAUCUAAUACAAUUAGUCCAAAUUAAUGCACAUUGACCUUCAACUUGAACUUGAACCACACUCUAAUCGAACCACACUCAAUCUGUAGACAUUCUAUAGCAGUGUUAUGGAUAUCACAGUGUCCUUUGACCUCCAAAGUCUAUUGUGAAUGUUGGACCAGCUCCACUAUGUCUUUGAGAAUAGGUGUUUUAAGUGAGAAUAUAUGUAAAACAUUUUCAAAAGAGUAUUUUCCUUUUCUCAGGUAACAUUUGUGAGGAGUGUCAUUGGAGUGCAUGUGACUGCGC